Molecule: ribosomal RNA, 468 nt
Filed under: uncultured bacterium
Lineage: Bacteria
Description: partial 16S ribosomal RNA
Rfam family: Bacterial small subunit ribosomal RNA
Source: RNAcentral
GGGGGGGGGGGGGGGGGGGGGGGGGGCGGGCGGGGCGGGCGGGGGGGCGCUGCGGGGGGGGGGGGCUCGGGUGGCGAACGGGUGGGUAACACGGGAGUAACCUGCCCUUGACUUUGGGAUAACUUCAGGAAACUGGGGCUAAUACCGGAUAGGAGCUCCUGCUGCAUGGUGGGGGUUGGAAAGUUUCGGCGGUUGGGGAUGGACUCGCGGCUUAUCAGCGUGUUGGUGGGGUAGUGGCUUACCAAGGCUUUGACGGGUAGCCGGCCUGAGAGGGUGACCGGCCACAUUGGGACUGAGAUACGGCCCAGACUCCUACGGGAGGCAGCAGUGGGGAAUAUUGCACAAUGGGCGGAAGCCUGAUGCAGCAACGCCGCGUGCGGGAUGACGGCCUUCGGGUUGUAAACCGCUUUCGCCUGUGACGAAGCGUGAGUGACGGUAAUGGGUAAAGAAGCACCGGCUAACUACGUG